Molecule: non-coding RNA, 200 nt
Filed under: Clostridiales sp. EM6
Lineage: Bacteria; Bacillati; Bacillota; Clostridia; Eubacteriales
Description: Clostridiales sp. T-box sequence
Rfam family: T-box leader
About the family: Uncharged tRNA acts as the effector for transcription antitermination of genes in the T-box leader family. T-boxes are found upstream of many aminoacyl-tRNA synthetase genes and some amino acid biosynthetic genes usually in Gram-positive bacteria.
Source: RNAcentral
AGCAACACGUUGACAGGAAGAGUACGUUCGGAAACUGCUCAGAGAGGGAUACAUAUGGUGAGAGUUAUCCUGCACGGAACGAACCGAAGACCACCCUGGAGUGUCCCUCAAUCGGGAACGGUGAUUCCGUUAUCAUCAAAUGAAGUGGUAUAGAAAUUCUAUACAAGCAGGGUGGAACCACGGGUAAUCUCGUCCCUUGA